RNAcentral lists this ribosomal RNA (903 nucleotides) under uncultured archaeon. Its description in RNAcentral is "bacterial SSU rRNA". It matches the Rfam family "Archaeal small subunit ribosomal RNA", at positions 13 to 922 of the family's 1478-position model. The record is from RNAcentral.
CCCGCCAGACCUGACUGCUAUCGGAUUGAUACUAAGCCAUGCGAGUCAUUGUAGCAAUACAAGGCAUACGGCUCAGUAACGCGUAGUCAACCUAACCUAUGGACGGGAAUAACCUCGGGAAACUGAGAAUAAUGCCCGAUAGAACAUUAUACCUGGAAUGGUUUAUGUUCCAAAUGAUUUAUCGCCGUAGGAUGGGACUGCGGCCUAUCAGUUUGUUGGUGAGGUAAUGGCCCACCAAGACUAUUACAGGUACGGGCUCUGAGAGGAGUAGCCCGGAGAUGGGUACUGAGACACGGACCCAGGCCCUAUGGGGCGCAGCAGGCGAGAAAACUUUGCAAUGUGCGAAAGCACGACAAGGUUAAUCCGAGUGAUUUCUGCUAAAGAAAUCUUUUGUUAGUCCUAGAAACACUAACGAAUAAGGGGUGGGCAAGUUCUGGUGUCAGCCGCCGCGGUAAAACCAGCACCUCAAGUGGUCAGGAUGAUUAUUGGGCCUAAAGCAUCCGUAGCCGGCUCUGUAAGUUUUCGGUUAAAUCUGUACGCUUAACGUACAGGCCGCCGGGAAUACUGCAAAGCUAGGGAGUGGGAGAAGUAGACGGUACUCGGUAGGAAGUGGUAAAAUGCUUUGAUCUAUCGAUGACCACCUGUGGCGAAGGCGGUCUACUAGAACACGUCCGACGGUGAGGGAUGAAAGCUGGGGGAGCAAACCGGAUUAGAUACCCGGGUAGUCCCAGCUGUAAACUAUGCAAACUCAGUGAUGCAUUGGCUUGUGGCCAAUGCAGUGCUGCAGGGAAGCCGUUAAGUUUGCCGCCUGGGAAGUACGUACGCAAGUAUGAAACUUAAAGGAAUUGGCGGGGGAGCACCACAAGGGGUGAAGCCUGCGGUUCAAUUGGAGUCAACGCCGGG